GAUGAACGCUGGCGGCGUGCCUAAUACAUGCAAGUCGAGCGAACGGACGAGAAGCUUGCGUCUCUGAUGUUAGCGGCGGACGGGUGAGUAACACGUGGAUAACCUACCUAUAAGACUGGGAUAACUUCGGGAAACCGGAUCUAAUACCGGAUAAUAUUUUGAACCGCAGGGUUCAAAAGUGAAAGACGGUCGUGCUGGCACUUAUAGAUGGAUCCGCGCUGGAUUAGCUAGUUGGUAAGGUAACGGCUUACCAAGGCAACGAUGCAUAGCCGACCUGAGAGGGUGAUCGGCCACACUGGAGCUGGGCCACGGUCCAGACUCCUACGGGAGGCAGCAGUAGGGAAUCUUCCGCAGUGGGCGAAAGCCUGGCGGAGCAACGCCGCGUGAGUGAUGAAGGUCUUCGGAGCGUAAAGCUCUGUUAUUAGGGAAGAACAUAUGUGUAAGUAACUGUGCACAUCUUGACGGUACCUAAUCAGAAAGCCCCGGCUAACUACGUG
Molecule: ribosomal RNA, 497 nt
Filed under: uncultured bacterium
Lineage: Bacteria
Description: partial 16S ribosomal RNA
Rfam family: Bacterial small subunit ribosomal RNA
Source: RNAcentral